RNAcentral lists this ribosomal RNA (730 nucleotides) under uncultured Bacillota bacterium. Its description in RNAcentral is "bacterial SSU rRNA". It matches the Rfam family "Bacterial small subunit ribosomal RNA", at positions 76 to 812 of the family's 1533-position model. The record is from RNAcentral. Lineage: Bacteria; Bacillati; Bacillota.
UUCUUCGGAAUGACGAUUUAGUGACUGAGUGGCGGACGGGUGAGUAACGCGUGGGUAACCUGCCUUAUACAGGGGGAUAACAGUUAGAAAUGACUGCUAAUACCGCAUAAGCGCACAGGAUUGCAUGAUCUGGUGUGAAAAACUCCGGUGGUAUAAGAUGGACCCGCGUCUGAUUAGCUGGUUGGUGAGGUAACGGCCCACCAAGGCGACGAUCAGUAGCCGACCUGAGAGGGUGACCGGCCACAUUGGGACUGAGACACGGCCCAAACUCCUACGGGAGGCAGCAGUGGGGAAUAUUGCACAAUGGGGGAAACCCUGAUGCAGCGACGCCGCGUGAGCGAAGAAGUAUUUCGGUAUGUAAAGCUCUAUCAGCAGGGAAGAAAAAAAUGACGGUACCUGACUAAGAAGCCCCGGCUAACUACGUGCCAGCAGCCGCGGUAAUACGUAGGGGGCAAGCGUUAUCCGGAUUUACUGGGUGUAAAGGGAGCGCAGGCGGUGCGGCAAGUCUGAUGUGAAAGCCCGGGGCUCAACCCCGGGACUGCAUUGGAAACUGUCGUACUUGAGUAUCGGAGAGGUAAGUGGAAUUCCUAGUGUAGCGGUGAAAUGCGUAGAUAUUAGGAGGAACACCAGUGGCGAAGGCGGCUUACUGGGCGAUAACUGACGCUGAGGCUCGAAAGCGUGGGGAGCAAACAGGAUUAGAUACCCUGGUAGUCCACGCCGUAAACGAUGA